UACGUAGGGGGCAAGCGUUGUCCGGAUUUAUUGGGCGUAAAGAGCGUGUAGGCGGCCUUACAGGUCAGCUGUGAAAACUCGAGGCUCAACCUCGAGACGUCGGUUGAAACCGUAUGGCUAGAGUCCGGAAGAGGAGAGUGGAAUUCCCGGUGUAGCGGUGAAAUGCGCAGAUAUCAGGAGGAACACCGGUGGUGUAGACGGCUUUCUGGACCAUAACUGACGCUGAGACACGAAAGCGUGGGUAGCAAACAGG
Molecule: ribosomal RNA, 253 nt
Filed under: uncultured bacterium
Lineage: Bacteria
Description: partial 16S ribosomal RNA
Rfam family: Bacterial small subunit ribosomal RNA
Source: RNAcentral